UCAAAGAGGCCAGUUUUAACCCGUAAUUCCGCUAAUUUUUUUUUGAGAACGAGGCCUAACGUCCAUUUCAGACAGAUAGAUCGCGCCGACCUCGUCAAUAUCCAGAUCUGAUCGAGACUCUGAUAGACUCAUUAACAGUUGGGAAUCUCGCCAAUCCCAGCCCGAGUUCAUCAGCUCCUUGGCGAUGGAUCAACAGCGACUCACGUCCCUCUCACUGGCGUUCGGGGAGGACAGCAGUGCGAUGGCGGGUACACGGCCACAGAUCGCGGCCGCCUACCGUAGGCCAAAUGAAUGCAACGACCAACCCCUAACUCCAGAGUCCCCGGCGUGUUUUUCAAUACAAGUGGAGGGAUGCGACCGCCGUUCUAAGGCUCGACGAGAGGGAGGGGCCCCCUAAGUCGGGGGUCUGCCGCACGAACGCGGCAGAGUUCGCAAGGUCCACGCCCGCGGCGGUCGGACGGAUCUGAUGAUGCCCGUGUGAUAAAGUUUUGGAAUCGUAUCGUGAUCUAAUCCCGUCAUUUGUUUGAUUUUUACAACGCUCUAAGAUGUGACAAUUCGAAUAAUCGAUUUGAUUUCAGAUCCUUGCCUAUGUCUAAGUGCCUGGCGUAGGCCAACAAAUAAACGAACAGCUAUCUACGGCAUCCAUGCCUUAAAAUCUCAAAAUUUUCUUAAAAGACAAACAAAAUCUUGAGCACGGCGCUGGCCCGUCGUCGCCCUUACAAGCGAUUUGCAUGCAAGGCGCCUGUGUCAAGAUCGUCCAUAUGGAGCCCUGCUCAUCUCCCUCUCACUCUCAUCC
This 796-nucleotide long non-coding RNA is filed under the name Spirodela polyrhiza (greater duckweed). Its description in RNAcentral is "long non-coding RNA (SPOL_LNC000334)". Lineage: Eukaryota; Viridiplantae; Streptophyta; Magnoliopsida; Alismatales; Araceae. The record is from RNAcentral.